GGUAGGGUGGCUGAGCGUCUAAGCGGUGGAUUGUAGCCCCAUAUACAGAGGUUCAAAUCCUCUUCUUACCA
This 71-nucleotide transfer RNA is filed under the name Pseudanthias pascalus (amethyst anthias). Its description in RNAcentral is "tRNA-Tyr". It matches the Rfam family "tRNA". From Rfam's summary of the family: Transfer RNA (tRNA) molecules are approximately 80 nucleotides in length. Their secondary structure includes four short double-helical elements and three loops (D, anti-codon, and T loops). Lineage: Eukaryota; Metazoa; Chordata; Actinopteri; Perciformes; Anthiadidae. The record is from RNAcentral.